This 420-nucleotide ribosomal RNA is filed under the name uncultured Nostoc sp. RNAcentral describes it as "bacterial SSU rRNA". It matches the Rfam family "Bacterial small subunit ribosomal RNA", at positions 356 to 790 of the family's 1533-position model. The record is from RNAcentral. Lineage: Bacteria; Bacillati; Cyanobacteriota; Cyanophyceae; Nostocales; Nostocaceae.
GGGGAAUCUUCCGCAAUGGGCGAAAGCCUGACGGAGCAAUACCGCGUGAGGGAGGAAGGCUCUUGGGUCGUAAACCUCUUUUCUCAGGGAAGAACACAAUGACGGUACCUGAGGAAUAAGCAUCGGCUAACUCCGUGCCAGCAGCCGCGGUAAUACGGAGGAUGCAAGCGUUAUCCGGAAUGAUUGGGCGUAAAGCGUCCGCAGGUGGCGAUGUAAGUCUGCUGUUAAAGAGUGAGGCUCAACCUCAUAAGAGCAGUGGAAACUACAUAGCUAGAGUACGUUCGGGGCAGAGGGAAUUCCUGGUGUAGCGGUGAAAUGCGUAGAGAUCAGGAAGAACACCAGUGGCGAAGGCGCUCUGCUAGGCCGUAACUGACACUGAGGGACGAAAGCUAGGGGAGCGAAAGGGAUUAGAUACCCCUG